ACGGAAGGCAGCAGUGAGGAAUAUUGGUCAAUGGGCGGAAGCUUGAACCAGCCAAGUAGCGUGCAGGACGACGGCCCUAUGGGUUGUAAACUGCUUUCGUCAGGGAAUAAAAAGGAUUACGUGUAAUCCAUUGCAUGUACCUGAAGAAUAAGGACCGGCUAAUUCCGUGCCAGCAGCCGCGGUAAUACGGAAGGUCCGGGCGUUAUCCGGAUUUAUUGGGUUUAAAGGGAGCGCAGGCGGCGAUUUAAGCGUGUUGUGAAAUGUAGGAGCUCAACUUCUGCACUGCAGCGCGAACUGGAUUGCUUGAGUACGCGGGAAGUAGGCGGAAUUCGUCGUGUAGCGGUGAAAUGCUAGAUAUGGCGAAGAACUCCGAUUGCGUAGGCAGCUGACCAGGCCGUAAAUGACGCUCAUGCACGAAAGUGCGGGGAUCGAACAGGAUUAGAUACCCUGGUA
RNAcentral lists this ribosomal RNA (453 nucleotides) under uncultured Prevotella sp. RNAcentral describes it as "partial 16S ribosomal RNA". It matches the Rfam family "Bacterial small subunit ribosomal RNA", at positions 341 to 792 of the family's 1533-position model. Lineage: Bacteria; Pseudomonadati; Bacteroidota; Bacteroidia; Bacteroidales; Prevotellaceae. The record is from RNAcentral.